CGAGAACCUAUAUCCUUUACGCAAUGCUGUUAACAGAUUCUUUCAAUAGGAAGAAAAACAUACAAAUCCCAAACAGCCAGCUAUUUCUAAAGUAUGAAGGCACAACACAAUCAUCGCAAGCAAAAGAGGUAAAAAGAAAGCCAUAGGUAAGAAGACAAUGAAAAUGAGUAUUCUAAACUAAAAGUAACCAAGGGAAACAAGUAGCACCAGAUAUAGUAAGUGCAGAGGCUCUAUGUUCUCCAUAUGCAGACACCUCAAUUUCCUAAGCUGAUACUGAUGCAGGAUUGCCUGAUAGAGAUUUUUGGAUUACAUCUUCAUGAAGAAAUUCAGAAAAUAGUUGUUUAGCUUGUUUUGGGGUUUUUAGGUAUUUGACUUUGUUAUUAGGGUUAGAGUUGUUUUAUGGUGCCUAUAUAAGUAUUAAUCUACAAUUUAAUCCUCCCUUUAUCAAGAAUGGGAAUGGAAAAGGACAGAUCUCCUUUGAACAAGAAUUAAAAAGACGUGAAAAUAAGUAGUCAAAACCAUCUUUAGAGCUAAAAGCUGGUUUCUUAAAACGGGCGUCACAAAUGGUUACAUAUCAGUAUGUCAAACUUGCAAACUUUCUAAAUAUAAAAUGAAGGGAUAUGGAUCUAAAUUUAGACACAGGUGCUCAGAUACAUUAUGUAGGCCGAAAAGGGUUGAAAAAACAUAUCCAAAAGAGACCAGCAAUAAUUAAUUGUUAUCUGCAACCAUUGAAUUCUCAUAAUAUUCAAUAUUUUUUUAACUUG
This 764-nucleotide unclassified non-coding RNA is filed under the name Hevea brasiliensis (rubber tree). Lineage: Eukaryota; Viridiplantae; Streptophyta; Magnoliopsida; Malpighiales; Euphorbiaceae. The record is from RNAcentral.